GAUGCACCAGAAGAGAAGGAGGCCUAGACAGGGUCAGUGGGAUGCCAGUGAAUGUUGGGGAUUGUACAAAAUAAAAAGUUAAAAUGUU
Polyodon spathula (Mississippi paddlefish) is the source of this 88-nucleotide long non-coding RNA. RefSeq lists it as uncharacterized. The transcript is spliced from 2 exons. The record is from RefSeq and is a predicted model, not a curated record. NCBI's taxonomy places the organism in Eukaryota, Metazoa, Chordata, Actinopteri, Acipenseriformes, Polyodontidae.